This 133-nucleotide small nuclear RNA is filed under the name Chrysemys picta bellii (western painted turtle). RNAcentral describes it as "U4 spliceosomal RNA (ENSCPBG00000000671.1)". The stretch from base 21 to 133 matches the Rfam family "U4 spliceosomal RNA", at positions 18 to 138 of the family's 138-position model. From Rfam's summary of the family: U4 small nuclear RNA (U4 snRNA) is a component of the major U2-dependent spliceosome. The structure of U4 snRNA from yeast and human has been reported. U4 snRNA presents a k-turn RNA motif in the 5p-SL related to recognition of Snu13 protein. Lineage: Eukaryota; Metazoa; Chordata; Testudines; Emydidae. The record is from RNAcentral.
UUAGGAGUGCUGGAAAAAGUGUAUCAUAGCCAAUGAGGUUAAUCUGAGGCGUGAUUAUUGCUAGUUGUAAACUUUAAGGAAUCUCUCAUUACGUUUUUUUAAAAAAUACAUAGAUUUUGUAUAUUGUGCCCAA